RNAcentral lists this ribosomal RNA (369 nucleotides) under Lampsilis straminea. RNAcentral describes it as "partial large subunit ribosomal RNA". It matches the Rfam family "Bacterial large subunit ribosomal RNA", at positions 1799 to 2465 of the family's 2925-position model. Lineage: Eukaryota; Metazoa; Mollusca; Bivalvia; Unionida; Unionidae. The record is from RNAcentral.
CCUGUUUAACAAAAACAUCGUCUUCUGUUAACUCAUAUAGAAGAUAAUGCCUGCCCAGUGAAAAUUUUAAACGGCCGCGUUAGCGUGAGCGUGCUAAGGUAGCGUAAUAAAUAGCCUUUUAAUUGGAGGCCAGUGAAUGGCAAGACUAGGGACAUCUGUACCCUGUAUAGAAAAACAACUUUUCAUCUGGGUGAAAAGACCCAAAUAAUAAAGGAAGACGAAAAGACCCCGCGGAACUUUACCUUUUCCAGUCCCCACAUGCUCAGAAACAUAAGAACAAAAGGUUUGAUUGGGGCAAUCUCGGAACAAACCAAACUUCCGACCCAUAAAAAAAGUAUAUAAAACUCAAUAAGGGCCAAAAAGAAGUUA